This 1371-nucleotide ribosomal RNA is filed under the name uncultured beta proteobacterium. Its description in RNAcentral is "bacterial SSU rRNA". It matches the Rfam family "Bacterial small subunit ribosomal RNA", at positions 27 to 1395 of the family's 1533-position model. The record is from RNAcentral. Lineage: Bacteria; Pseudomonadati; Pseudomonadota; Betaproteobacteria.
GAUUGAACGCUGGCGGCAUGCCUUACACAUGCAAGUCGAACGGCAGCACGGGUGCUUGCACCUGGUGGCGAGUGGCGAACGGGUGAGUAAUACAUCGGAACAUGUCCUGUAGUGGGGGAUAGCCCGGCGAAAGCCGGAUUAAUACCGCAUACGAUCUACGGAUGAAAGCGGGGGACCUUCGGGCCUCGCGCUAUAGGGUUGGCCGAUGGCUGAUUAGCUAGUUGGUGGGGUAAAGGCCUACCAAGGCGACGAUCAGUAGCUGGUCUGAGGGGACGACCAGCCACACUGGGACUGAGACACGGCCCAGACUCCUACGGGAGGCAGCAGUGGGGAAUUUUGGACAAUGGGCGAAAGCCUGAUCCAGCAAUGCCGCGUGUGUGAAGAAGGCCUUCGGGUUGUAAAGCACUUUUGUCCGGAAAGAAAUCCUUGGCUCUAAUACAGUCGGGGGAUGACGGUACCGGAAGAAUAAGCACCGGCUAACUACGUGCCAGCAGCCGCGGUAAUACGUAGGGUGCGAGCGUUAAUCGGAAUUACUGGGCGUAAAGCGUGCGCAGGCGGUUUGCUAAGACCGAUGUGAAAUCCCCGGGCUCAACCUGGGAACUGCAUUGGUGACUGGCAGGCUAGAGUAUGGCAGAGGGGGGUAGAAUUCCACGUGUAGCAGUGAAAUGCGUAGAGAUGUGGAGGAAUACCGAUGGCGAAGGCAGCCCCCUGGGCCCAAUACUGACGCUCAUGCACGAAAGCGUGGGGAGCAAACAGGAUUAGAUACCCUGGGUAGUCCACGCCCUAAACGAUGUCAACUAGUUGUUGGGGAUUCAUUUCCUUAGUAACGUAGCUAACGCGUGAAGUUGACCGCCUGGGGAGUACGGUCGCAAGAUUAAAACUCAAAGGAAUUGACGGGGACCCGCACAAGCGGUGGAUGAUGUGGAUUAAUUCGAUGCAACGCGAAAAACCUUACCUACCCUUGACAUGGUCGGAAUCCCGCUGAGAGGUGGGAGUGCUCGAAAGAGAACCGGCGCACAGGUGCUGCAUGGCUGUCGUCAGCUCGUGUCGUGAGAUGUUGGGUUAAGUCCCGCAACGAGCGCAACCCUUGUCCUUAGUUGCUACGCAAGAGCACUCUAAGGAGACUGCCGGUGACAAACCGGAGGAAGGUGGGGAUGACGUCAAGUCCUCAUGGCCCUUAUGGGUAGGGCUUCACACGUCAUACAAUGGUCGGAACAGAGGGUUGCCAACCCGCGAGGGGGAGCUAAUCCCAGAAAACCGAUCGUAGUCCGGAUUGCACUCUGCAACUCGAGUGCAUGAAGCUGGAAUCGCUAGUAAUCGCGGAUCAGCAUGCCGCGGUGAAUACGUUCCCAGGUCUUGUACACACCCGCC